This 360-nucleotide ribosomal RNA is filed under the name uncultured bacterium. RNAcentral's name for it is "bacterial SSU rRNA". It matches the Rfam family "Bacterial small subunit ribosomal RNA", at positions 29 to 416 of the family's 1533-position model. The record is from RNAcentral.
AACGAACGCUGGCGGCAUGCCUAACACAUGCAAGUCGAACGAAGCCUUCGGGCUUAGUGGCGCACGGGUGCGUAACACGUGGGAAUCUGCCCUUCGGUUCGGAAUAACAGUUAGAAAUGACUGCUAAUACCGGAUGAUGACGUAAGUCCAAAGAUUUAUCGCCGAAGGAUGAGCCCGCGUAGGAUUAGGUAGUUGGUAGGGUAAUGGCCUACCAAGCCGACGAUCCUUAGCUGGUCUGAGAGGAUGAUCAGCCACACUGGGACUGAGACACGGCCCAGACUCCUACGGGAGGCAGCAGUGGGGAAUAUUGGACAAUGGGCGAAAGCCUGAUCCAGCAAUGCCGCGUGAGUGAAGAAGGCC